CCGGCGGGCGCGCGGGAGACGGACAGGCCAGCGCUGCCCCCGCGGUGCUAGGCAGGUCGGGGAUGCGGGCCAGGGGUGCGAGACCAGACCGAGAAGUGGGCCUCAAGAUAGGGACUGGGACGAGGGGGGCAUUGCGGAAUUCGAAUGAAGGGGAGAAGGGGAGAAGGGGCAGGUGGGGGGGGGGGCAGGGGAAGGAAGGGGAGAGGCGGAGAAAGAGGGCUAGAGCCUGAGAGCGCGCCUCCGAGGGUCAGCGGCCUCCACGGCCCGACACACACCCUCCAGGAGACCCGAGAAAACAUCUCCAAGAGGAGAAGCACCAAUGCCCAAAUGGGGAGGAGAGUCGAGUAGAGACAGCGGAGCACCUGCGCCCCGUGGAGAGAAGCAGGCGGCAAAGUGUUGGUGAAGGGAGGCAAGAAGGCUGAGGCUGCCCGGAGAGGUGGCCGGUGCUGGCAUGGGGUGGGGGGGGGGGGCUCUCAGACCCUGCAGUGCCCCCCACCCCACCCCAGCCCGCGCCGGGCCCUUGCCUGCUGCCUUCCCCGGACUUCAAGGCUGGAGGCAACCUGAUGCUGGCUCGAUGUAGCAUCUUCCACAGGCUCUGAGACUGUUGGGACCUUGCCCCUCCACCUCCCGGGUGUCAGCGAACCCGUGCUUCUGAGUGGAGUGAUUAGAAAACAAUUUUAAAAGCUCAUUCUAAGGAGAUCUGUCAAAAGUGAUGACCGAAGACUGAGCAUACGGUCCCUUCCCCACACUCCAUUCUGCAUGGAGACUCCACCGGUCUGACCCCAUAGCAGUGUACCAAGAGCCCUCAAGGAGCCACCAGAAAGCCCGGGACUGGACGCAGCUCUGUGAGUGACCGGCCGACCUGGAGGAAGGGAGUUUGUUUAUCUGGACGUGGGUUCCUCUGCUUGACCUCUGGUGACUGAAGGGACAAGGAAUCACUGAGGGGAGACCACGGGGCAGGGGCUUACUCACCCUCACCAGCCGCCACCCUCUGUCUGCUUAGCCUGGAUCUGCUUGGCCUGCAGACCUAUUCUCGACCCGUGGCCGUCACAUGUCCUCCCGUCCUGCCCUUGGGCCACCACCCCUCGAUUACAAGGGCAGAGGAGAGACUUGUGGGGAGGGUCUCAGACCAGUGUCACAGGAUGCCUGGUUCUCAGAGCACACCGUCUGGGGACACCUGCCUAUGGCGGGAGAGGUCGGAGAGUAGAGGUCUGAGUAACACCAGAGGCUCUGCUCAGCCCACUGCUUACUGACUGAGGACUUUGGCAAGCCCCAAACUGUCCUCGGUCAAGGCCUUCCUUUUGUAGAACGAGGAUGAUGGUCAUCACUCUUUCCACAAUCGAGGAGAGUUCUGAUGAUAAGAUGAGAUGAAGAAUUAAAAAGAAUUAAUU
Molecule: long non-coding RNA, 1391 nt
Organism: Mustela erminea (ermine)
Lineage: Eukaryota; Metazoa; Chordata; Mammalia; Carnivora; Mustelidae
Exons: 4
Source: RefSeq, a predicted model, not a curated record